AUUGGACGCUGGCGGCAUGCUUUACACAUGCAAGUCGAGCGGCAGCGCGGGGGCAACCCUGGCGGCGAGCGGCGAACGGGUGAGUAAUGCAUCGGAACGUAUCCUCGAGUGGGGGAUAACCCAGCGAAAGUUGGGCUAAUACCGCAUGAGCUCUGAGGAGGAAAGCGGGGGACCUGCGAGGGCCUCGCGCUGGAGGAGCGGCCGAUGUCCGAUUAGCUAGUUGGUGGGGUAAAGGCUUACCAAGGCGACGAUCGGUAGCUGGUCUGAGAGGAUGAUCAGCCACACUGGGACUGAGACACGGCCCAGACUCCUACGGGAGGCAGCAGUGGGGAAUUUUGGACAAUGGGGGCAACCCUGAUCCAGCCAUGCCGCGUGAGUGAAGAAGGCCUUCGGGUUGUAAAGCUCUUUCGGACGGAACGAAAUGGGCGGGACUAAUACUCCUGUCUGAUGACGGUACCGUAAGAAGAAGCACCGGCUAACUACGUG
Molecule: ribosomal RNA, 486 nt
Filed under: uncultured bacterium
Lineage: Bacteria
Description: partial 16S ribosomal RNA
Rfam family: Bacterial small subunit ribosomal RNA
Source: RNAcentral